AAGUGACGUAGGCACGCAGCAGUUCAUAUACUUUACCUUUAUAGUGUAAUUUUAGUGAUUUUGUAAGGGCCCUGAUAAGCAGUGGAAUAUAAACCUUUUUUUGUUCAAUGGCCCAAAUAAACCAACUGAUGAGAUGUGUGAAGAAAAAAAACACAAUUACCAGGAGAACUGACCUUGGUGUGCAGGCCUCAGUGGAUAAAGAGCACCACGAGGAGGAGGAGGAUUCUGAGACCAGGGAGGUGGAGCCUGAGACCAGGGAGGUGGAGCAACACAAUUGAGAGGAGGAAAAUAUUGGGAUCUGGCGCAUAACGCCCUGUUCACACACUCCAGGAUCUCGGGGAGCAACACGCCCUGGUGCUUCCCCCCUUGUGUGGGUACCCAUUUUUGGACGCUUGGGUCACCACCCUGCGUGUCACAGCUUCCGGUCAACCUGUGCAGGUCAGCCACCUGGCCUUGAACCCUGAACCUCGUGAUUCUGCACCAGUGCUCAUACCCCUGAGCCACUUGGUCCUGCACACUAUGUGACAGUUCUCCUGGCGUAUUCAUCUUUCGCUUUAUGUUUUAAAUACAUAAGAAAUGUGCAUGUGAAUGGUCUUGAACCCUGAACCACCUGGUCUAAUGUCAGUGCUCUUACCACUGAGCCACUGGGUUCUGCAUGAAUGAGAAGUUUCUCCUGGUGUGUUCAUCUGUCGUUUUACGUUUUAAAUACAUAAGAAAUGUGCAUGUGCAUGGUCUUGAACCCUGAACCACCUAGUCAACUGUCAGUGCUCUUACCACUGAGCCACUGG
Molecule: long non-coding RNA, 788 nt
Organism: Triplophysa dalaica
Lineage: Eukaryota; Metazoa; Chordata; Actinopteri; Cypriniformes; Nemacheilidae
Exons: 4
Source: RefSeq, a predicted model, not a curated record